This is a long non-coding RNA of Neopsephotus bourkii (Bourke's parrot), 2371 nucleotides long. RefSeq lists it as uncharacterized. NCBI's taxonomy places the organism in Eukaryota, Metazoa, Chordata, Aves, Psittaciformes, Psittacidae. The transcript has 2 exons. The record is from RefSeq and is a predicted model, not a curated record.
GGAAAUCACACCACUAUUUGUCCCGCUGUAUGUCUUUUCUAAGGGGGUGAACUAGUCUCCCAGAGUAUCUCAAAACCAGAAGUCUCUAGAAAUUGCUGUUCAGGACUUAAGAAUACAGGGUUCACUUGAAUAGUUGCAAUGCUGUCUUAACUGUUAUCCCUCUGAAUCUAAUCCAAGAAUCUGGUUUUAGUUUUUAUGCUUACACACUUUAACUGUAUUUAUAAGAUAUUUUAACUGUAUAAGAUAGAUUCAUACUAUUUCUUUCAGCUGAUGAAGUAGUGUGCCCCUUUUUAAUCUGGUAAGAGCAGCUUGUAGGGGGAAAAAAAAGUUGUUUUUUUUUAAAUAUGUAAACUGUAGAUUCAGGGGGUGCACGAGUUAAAUCUGGGUUUCUUUAACUAUUGCAUGUAGCUCCAGUGACUGAUAAAUAUACAUACAGGUAUUCCUUAUGAAGCCAGUGACUGAUAAAUGUUCAAGAUCUUUCAUGAUUGUAAACAUAUUCAAGUGAACCUUAAUUAUUUCUAAAAUUAAUCCAGCAUUUUCUAUAAAACACACAAAAGUUCUGUUGUAUGGCUUUUCUUUUACUGCCAAUAUGUAUUGCAUUAAAGAAAAAAAAAACCCAAUGAAACCCCACAAACAAAAAACCAAACAUAAAACCAAAAACUGAACAGAAGGUGGCUAGAAAGCAAAUCUAUUGCAUUGUGAAGAAUUUGUCGGUUGUGAGGGCUGGUGGCUUAAAGUGUGGUUGUAUACAGUGUAUUGUGACUUAUUGUCCAUUUUUAGAGGGAACUUCACUAAAGAUAGAUCUGCCAAAUAGUUCAAUUACAAAUGUAUCCACUUUCAAAAAGUUAAGGAUUCUUUUGUUUAUGAAACAUGAGUCCUAGUUAUUUCAAUUACUCCUAGGUACUCUUGAUAUACAUAUUCAUUGCUUGUAUUCUCUGAGGUUGGAAAACUCUUCAUGAGAAGGUAAUGUCACUCACCUGGCUUUUACUUUUCACGGCAAAGUUGUAGCCUAUUUUCAGGUAUCUUUCUUUAAGAUAUUUGCAUCUUGAAUACACAAAUAUUACAACAGGAUCAUUAGGUUAGGUCAGUCUUGGUUUCUACUAGGAGCAAUUAGCUUUCUGAUCGCAUUUCAGUGAGUCAGUUUUAAGUAAUGAACUUAAAUUCACAUCUCCAGGUAUACUCUUGAGUAGGUAUCUGUCUAGAUCUGGGGUACCUGAAAUUGUAGCUGAUGGCCAGACUGUCACAUACAGAAUGUAGGCAGUUGGGUGCAAUUAGCAAUUUACGUAACUAGUACAGUCUUGAAAACUGGAUGUUCUAACUGUGGUUGCAACCAUACUUUGAACUAAAUGGUGCGGUUUAUAACAACUUCUCUGGCAUCAAUCAUGCAGUAAAUACAGUAGCAAAAUCAGAAUACUGACUUUAAAUAACAGUUUUUAUUGCUGUAUUGACUGUCUCAUUGGAACAGUAGUUUAACAGUGUAUAAUUUGUUCCAUUAAUACAAGGGAACAUACCUGACCACUGUACUGACAAGCACGUUACCUUGGGGAAAAAUUGUUUUUUAGGCUUGGACGAUUUCUUUCUUUGAUCCAUUAACUGUCUUGCUACCAUCAAACUCACAGAAUUUAAGAUCUUAUUGCACCAGCAACCAAUGAUUAAAACACCAAUUUUAUACAAGUUUGUACCAAAUGCUAUUACAACAUGCUGUGGAACUACAUGUGUACAGUGAAAGCAAGGAGGAUUAUUUUUGAGCUUUAUUUAGCCUAGGAAUAGAGUUUAAAGAAUAUUAAUUUGUGACUUCAGCCUUGAACUUAAAUGGUAAAUGGUGUGGAUUUGAAUCCAAGAGUUUUUUCAAAUGUCUUUUACUGCUUAUUAACAGGAUUUGCUUUUCUUGUUACUAUCUUUUGGUCUGUUUUCAUUUCAUGUAGGGUUCUUGUUCGCUGUUCUCAUGUUUCGUAGCCCUUUAUGUGGAAGCGUAUACAUGUCUUAUUUCAAAAGUACUUAAGUAAUUUCAAAUUAAGUCUGACCUUUGUUUUGUUCCUUAUACAACAUCAUUUGCAGAAGUCAGUACUCAAAUUGAUCAUUUACCAUGUCAUGAAUGCUACUUAGUUAAACAUAGCAACAGGUAGGCCCAAGUUGCAGCUUCUCUGCUUUAAGCGAUCAUUAUGAAACUUUCCAAAAGGAUACACUUCCAGGUGAUAGUAGAUGUUUUCUAAACUAGUGAUAUGCUGUUUAUGAAUCUUAAGAAAGCUGUAUAACUAUUCUGGAGUAUUGUACUGAAAUCUUGUUACUGUCAGUUUUCCCUUUUCUUUAGUACUGUCUUGGCAGCUUUUGAAAUGUUUGAAGUAGUAAUUAAACUUAUAUUUUGUGAUUA